Salvelinus namaycush (lake trout) is the source of this 963-nucleotide long non-coding RNA. RefSeq lists it as uncharacterized. The record is from RefSeq and is a predicted model, not a curated record. Lineage: Eukaryota; Metazoa; Chordata; Actinopteri; Salmoniformes; Salmonidae. The transcript has 8 exons.
UUUUGUCUUCAGUUCUCACUCAGAGGUCUGAGCAUGUUGUCUCCGAGGUGAAGAGUACAAUGGGGAACAUUAGAUACCACCAUGACCUAUUGGUGUCACACUGUCCGAGCAGAUGGCACAUGAAAGUAGCAGUAAAGGCCUGCCUUUUCUCCCUGAAAGAAUAUAAUGAUAUAGGAUGGUCUGGUGGUGCAGCAAUGCUGACUUACUGGUUAUAGUGGGUUAUGACGUGGCGCCAUGCUGCCAAUGAGAAAUUGGAUACCGCUGAUUGGUGUCCUGUCCUAGCGGAUGUAACCUGGAAGUAGCAGAAUGAAUGCCGCCUUUCCUCCCUGAAAGAAUGCUGUGCAGUGUGCACAGAACGAUAAAGGAUGGUCUGGAUGUGCAGCAGUGCUGACUUAAUGGUUAUAGUGGGUCAUGACGUGGCGCCAAGCUGCCAAUGAGAAAUUGGAUACCGCUGAUUGGUGUCCUAGCGGAUGUAACCUGGAAGUAGCAGAAUGAUUGCCGCCUUUCCUCCCUGAAAGAAUGCUGUGCAGUGCACAGAACGAUAUAGUCUGGAGGUGCAGCAGUGCAGACUGGUCGUAGUGGGGUUGACAUGGAGUCACAAGUCAUUAUCGGAGCGGUGCUGAAGAACGAAUGAAGAUUGUGACCCGUUGAAGAUGCAAGGUGGCAGUAAUGGGUUGUGCCUUUAGUAGAAGAAAGCAGAUUGUUCAGUUGCUGGUCCUAGACUAGGGUGACCUCUGAUUUUAUAUUAUACAUAUGCAGCUGCCACUAUUAUAGCCUUUAGAUGCUGUUUACCACAUCGUGCUCAGUUUAAGUUUGGUAAUCACGCCAAAACCCUUUUGACUCAGUGUGACCAUUGUUUAAUUAGCAUUUGUUGAGCCAAUUUCACCAUGUACCUGCCCUGUUUGAUUUGAAUAUAAAUGUAUUGCUUUCAAGAUAAUUCAAAUAAACUCAAGCUGAUCUGUG